UUCUUAGUGAAUCUGGUGGUGCUUGGUUUCUGAGCGCUGCUCUGCUUCGGCUUAGCUCGUUCGUAAUGCAUUAGCAUCCGCAACCGAACUUCGGAUUGACUUGGCGUAAUAGACUAUUCGCUGAGGAUUCUAGUUUACUAGAGCCGAGUUGGGUUAAAGGAAGCUCCUAAUCCUAAAGUCUAUUUUUUGAUUAGAUCUCAAAUCAGGUAGGACUACCCGCUGAACUUAAGCAUAUCAAUAAGCGGAGGAAAAGAAACUAACAAGGAUUCCCCUAGUAGCGGCGAGCGAAGCGGGAAGAGCUCAAAUUUAUAAUCUGGCACCUUCGGUGUCCGAGUUGUAAUCUCUAGAAGUGUUUUCCGCGUUGGACCGCACACAAGUCUGUUGGAAUACAGCGGCAUAGUGGUGAAACCCCCGUAUAUGGUGCGGACGCCCAGCGCUUUGUGAUACACUUUCAAUGAGUCGAGUUGUUUGGGAAUGCAGCUCAAAUUGGGUGGUAAAUUCCAUCUAAAGCUAAAUAUUGGCGAGAGACCGAUAGCGAACAAGUACCGUGAGGGAAAGAUGAAAAGCACUUUGGAAAGAGAGUUAACAGUACGUGAAAUUGUUGGAAGGGAAACGCUUGAAGUCAGACUUGCUUGCCGGAGCUUGCUUCGGUUUGCAGGCCAGCAUCAGUUUUCCGGGGUGGAUAAUGACGGUUUGAAGGUAGCAGUCUCGGCUGUGUUAUAGCUUUCCGUUGGAUACAUCCUGGGGGACUGAGGAACGCAGCGUGCUUUUUGCGAAAGACUCGUCUUUCACGCU
This 795-nucleotide ribosomal RNA is filed under the name Rhodotorula babjevae. RNAcentral's name for it is "eukaryotic LSU rRNA". The stretch from base 193 to 795 matches the Rfam family "Eukaryotic large subunit ribosomal RNA", at positions 1 to 608 of the family's 3401-position model. Lineage: Eukaryota; Fungi; Basidiomycota; Microbotryomycetes; Sporidiobolales; Sporidiobolaceae. The record is from RNAcentral.